This 481-nucleotide long non-coding RNA is filed under the name Cyanistes caeruleus (blue tit). RNAcentral's name for it is "lncRNA (ENSCCEG00000019932.1)". The record is from RNAcentral. Lineage: Eukaryota; Metazoa; Chordata; Aves; Passeriformes; Paridae.
CUAAUAUCUACUGUUUCUCACAGAACCAGUACUCUCAUCAAUUUUACAACAUGGGGAGAUGAGACCCUGCCUGAAUCAAUAGUCUUAUUUAUAUGCAUCAUAUCUAUCUUACAGGUGGCACCAAUCCAUUACUACAUGGUAGAUAUGCUGUGAACUUUGUUUGAGGAGUAAAAUCUGUUCCAGAAAAACCCUCUCCGUUCUCUGGAUCAGAUAUAUGAAAUUGAUAGAGAACAGCUGCUCCUCAGUCUGCUGGAGUUUUAUAACAUGUUAUCAAACCUUUUGAACACAGCUGGUAAACAGACGCUCCUCAGAGCAUGCAUGCCAGCAGCUCUUUGUGCUGAAAAGGGCCAGCUGGUGACGAUGAAUCAUUUCAGUGGCAUAAGAGCUGCAACAAAUAUGGGAGCAGUGCCCACAAAGCAAAUUCAGAAAGAGGAAAAUGAUGUGCAAAUGGCACAGACUGGGGGACUUGACCACUGAAUGA